GGCCGGUUGGCAGAGUGGCUCAUGCAGAGGACUGCAAAUCCUUGUACAUCGGUUCAAUUCCGGUACCGGCCUCCA
RNAcentral lists this transfer RNA (75 nucleotides) under Acetobacter sp. Its description in RNAcentral is "tRNA-Cys". It matches the Rfam family "tRNA". From Rfam's summary of the family: Transfer RNA (tRNA) molecules are approximately 80 nucleotides in length. Lineage: Bacteria; Pseudomonadati; Pseudomonadota; Alphaproteobacteria; Acetobacterales; Acetobacteraceae. RNAcentral also lists the same sequence under 13 other names. The record is from RNAcentral.